AGAGUUUGAUCCUGGCUCAGAGCGAACGCUGGCGGCAGGCUUAACACAUGCAAGUCGAGCGGGCGUAGCAAUACGUCAGCGGCAGACGGGUGAGUAACGCGUGGGAACAUACCUUUUGGUUCGGAACAACACAGGGAAACUUGUGCUAAUACCGGAUAAGCCCUUACGGGGAAAGAUUUAUCGCCGAAAGAUUGGCCCGCGUCUGAUUAGCUAGUUGGUGAGGUAACGGCUCACCAAGGCGACGAUCAGUAGCUGGUCUGAGAGGAUGAUCAGCCACAUUGGGACUGAGACACGGCCCAAACUCCUACGGGAGGCAGCAGUGGGGAAUAUUGGACAAUGGGCGCAAGCCUGAUCCAGCCAUGCCGCGUGAGUGAUGAAGGCCCUAGGGUUGUAAAGCUCUUUUGCGCGGGAAGAUAAUGACGGUACCGCAAGAAUAAGCCCCGGCUAACUUCGUGCCAGCAGCCGCGGUAAUACGAAGGGGGCUAGCGUUGCUCGGAAUCACUGGGCGUAAAGGGUGCGUAGGCGGGUCUUUAAGUCAGGGGUGAAAUCCUGGAGCUCAACUCCAGAACUGCCUUUGAUACUGAAGAUCUUGAGUUCGGGAGAGGUGAGUGGAACUCGAGUGUAGAGGCGAAAUUCGUAGAUAUUCGCAAGAACACCAGUGGCGAAGGCGGCUCACUGGCCCGAUACUGACGCUGAGGCACGAAAGCGUGGGGAGCAAACAGGAUUAGAUACCCUAGUAGUCC
This 743-nucleotide ribosomal RNA is filed under the name uncultured bacterium. RNAcentral describes it as "bacterial SSU rRNA". It matches the Rfam family "Bacterial small subunit ribosomal RNA", at positions 8 to 796 of the family's 1533-position model. The record is from RNAcentral.